CCCUUAGAUGUUCUGGGCAGCACGCGCGCUACAAUGGUCUUCGCAAACGGAUGCAUUCUCGAAGGAGAAUGCCAAUCUUGGAAUCUAUGCCUUGGUCGGGACAGUUGCUUGCAAUUUUUCGACUCGAACCAGGAAUUCCUUGUAAUCGUGAUUCAUCACAUCACGAUGAAUACGUCCCUGCCCUUUGUACACACCGCCCGUCGCUCCUACCGAUUGAGUGGUCCGGUGAACCUUCUGGAUUAAGCAGCAAUGCUUGAGAAGUUAGGUAAACCUUAUCACUUAGAGGAAGGAGAAGUCGUAACA
RNAcentral lists this ribosomal RNA (303 nucleotides) under uncultured eukaryote. Its description in RNAcentral is "partial 18S ribosomal RNA". It matches the Rfam family "Eukaryotic small subunit ribosomal RNA", at positions 1470 to 1796 of the family's 1831-position model. The record is from RNAcentral.